AGUAACGGCGAGUGAAGCGGCAACAGCUCAAAUUUGAAAUCUGGCCCUUUCGGGGUCCGAGUUGUAAUUUGGAGAGGAUGCUUCGGGUGUGGCCCCGGUCUAAGUUCCUUGGAACAGGACGUCACAGAGGGUGAGAAUCCCGUACGUGCCCGGUGGCCGCCCCCGUGUGAAGCUCCUUCGAC
Molecule: ribosomal RNA, 182 nt
Filed under: Oidiodendron maius
Lineage: Eukaryota; Fungi; Ascomycota; Leotiomycetes; Myxotrichaceae
Description: partial large subunit ribosomal RNA
Rfam family: Eukaryotic large subunit ribosomal RNA
Source: RNAcentral